This 932-nucleotide unclassified non-coding RNA is filed under the name Hevea brasiliensis (rubber tree). Lineage: Eukaryota; Viridiplantae; Streptophyta; Magnoliopsida; Malpighiales; Euphorbiaceae. The record is from RNAcentral.
AGAAGAAGCAGCAGCAGCAGCAGCUCAACAGCCCCAAAUCUUCAAAGAACACGACCAACUAUAUCAGAUAGUCGCACUCUGCUCAGCACUUCAAUUCAAGAGGAGAGAAAUCAAAUGGAAAAUGGUAGUGUUUCCAUCAUUAGUAACAAGUUUUUUAACUGGCUUUCUGAACUAUCAGCUGGUAAUUUAGAAGAUCAGGUUAAAUCAAUGGAAAAAGAAGUAAUGCUAAUGCGUGCUUUACUUGAGGAUUUUCAAGCAACUGAGAAACCAAGCAGAAGACUGAAAGUAUGGCUGGAGGAAAUAAGAGGAAUUGCUGAUGAUGCAGAGGGUGUCAUUAAAACCUACAGCGAAAGAAGCCAAAAGGAUCUCUCAAACUAUGAGGAUAUGAUGAUUCGAAAUAAGAUUGCCAAUGACAUAAGUAGGGUCAUGAAUAAGAUUCGUGAUGUUUCAGAAAGAAGGGAAGCUUCAAACUCUAUUUUCCAUAGCCUAUGUCAAAGACGACCACCGCCUAAUAUCAUUGGCUUUGAUGAUGAUGUAUGUGCAAUUAAAAAACGGCUACUCACAGAUGAUAGAUACUGCUGCAUAAUUUCAAUUCUGGGUGAAGAAGGCACUGGAAAGACUACCCUUGCAAAAUUAAUCUAUAACGAUAUUGAGGUUAUGGAUCAUUUCCCUUUUCGAGCUUGGAUUUCUGUACCACAAGAGAACAGUGAUAGGGCAGUGCUGCAAGACAUACAGAAACAAGUUAUGGAUUAUCUUCGACAAAAAGGCAAAUGGAACAUGGAAGAAGAACCACUUGCUGUCUUGGAUGGUAGGUACCUGAUAAUCUUGGAUGAUAUCCGAAAAGCCCAAGUCUUGGAUUUUCUUAGAAAUGCAUUCCCAGAUAAAUCAAAUGGUAGUAGAAUACUGAUCACUACCCAAGAGAUGGCUAUAGG